RNAcentral lists this ribosomal RNA (402 nucleotides) under uncultured bacterium. Its description in RNAcentral is "bacterial SSU rRNA". It matches the Rfam family "Bacterial small subunit ribosomal RNA", at positions 356 to 773 of the family's 1533-position model. The record is from RNAcentral.
AGGGAAUCUUGCACAAUGGGCGAAAGCCUGAUGCAGCAACGCCGCGUGAAGGAUGAAGGCCUUCGGGUUGUAAACUUCUGUUCCCGGGGACGAAGAAAGUGACGGUACCCGGGCAGCAAGCCCCGGCUAACUACGUGCCAGCAGCCGCGGUAAUACGUAGGGGGCAAGCGUUAUCCGGAAUUAUUGGGCGUAAAGAGUGCGUAGGUGGUUAUGUAAGCGUGAGGUUUAAGGCAGUGGCUUAACCACUGUUCGCCUUGCGAACUGCAUAACUUGAGUGCAGGAGGGGAAAGCGGAAUUCCUAGUGUAGCGGUGAAAUGCGUAGAUAUUAGGAGGAACACCAGCGGCGAAGGCGGCUUUCUGGACUGCAACUGACACUGAGGCACGAAAGCGUGGGGAGCAAAC